RNA transcript from Ictalurus furcatus (blue catfish), 1408 nucleotides. RefSeq lists it as uncharacterized. The record is from RefSeq and is a predicted model, not a curated record. The transcript has 6 exons. Lineage: Eukaryota; Metazoa; Chordata; Actinopteri; Siluriformes; Ictaluridae.
ACAGCAUCGCGCUGUCGGUUUCAUUUGGAGAUCAAUGUGAGCUGAUGUGCAGAAGAAGAAGAAGAGGUCAGUGCUUGUGGCUUCUCUUUGAUGAACAUCGUCGCAUCGAACAGCAGCAUGACAGUGAUCUCACCAGAUAAGGUACUUAAGCGUGAGCUGUGCACGCUGAGCAAGCGCAUGCCCUCCUGCAUGGUGCAGCAGAUUUCGGAUUGCCUACGCAGCUCACGUACGCUCACCGACUACGAGGUGCAGGUGAUUCGUGCCGCGGUCACAGACAUGCAACAAGCCACGUGUCUCCUGCAAACGCUCCUGCGCAAGGGCCGCACACCGUGUCUGCUCUUCUUCCGGUGCCUGUAUGUGUGCAGCCCCUCGCUCUUCCACACCGUCACCAGAGGCUUGGUGAAAGUUACUGAUGAGGAUCACCAUCACGUGGAGACGUCUUCCUUUGCAGAUGUGCGUUCAGAGUGCUUCUUAAGCCAUAGGAGAGGACUCGAGUGGAUACUGACCGGCAUUGCUUGUGCUCUAGAAAUUCCACUCUUAAGAAAGAGAAAAGGGAUGUAUGCAUGUCAGAGGCAGGAGAUUGUGGUCGACACAUGCGGUGUCGGAGGCUGCAGUGUGUGUUUGUGUGGAUCGGUUUUGUUUUAAGGCUGGAAAUGUACGUUCAGUUAUAUAGACCGUGAAGAUCAAUUCAUAUGGAAUUGAGCUUCAGCACGAGCUUUCUGGACCUGAUGGUGUUAAAGAAUGAGUUCUUCAGGCUCGUCGGGGUCUGCAAGUUUGAGAGGGUUUAUUAUUUCUAGUUCCCUGGACAUCUCUGACUCGGUGAACUGGUAGACAAAUUCAGUUUGGCCAGGGUUUUGGUAACAUAACAGUUUAGGUCAGCAAAGCAUACAUAAAAGUUGUUCUGGAAGUGUGUCUUCAAUGGGAAAGACGUUUGGGAUGUUUUUUUUGUUUGUUUGUUUGUUUGUUUGUUUGCUUCAUGUGUCAUUGGAUUGUUGUGGUUUGGUCUUAAUCAAUUGUUCUUCAUGUAAACCAGAUUCUCACUUCCAUUCAUCCAUGCUCAUAUGUGUAGGGAUAUAACCCCGGUGUCCUGGUGAAAUUCCCCCACUGGCCCUUCUCUAUCAUGGCCUCUAAUAAUCUCCAUCUCUGAAUGGGCUACAUCACUCUCUCCUCUCCACUAAUAGCUGGUGUGUGGUAGGCGUUCUGGUGCACUAUGGCUGCCGUCACAUCAUCCAGGUGGAUGCUACACACUAGUGGUGGUUGAGGAGAUCCCCCUCCCCCCAAAUACUAUAGGCAUCUGGACCUGUUCCCUCAUGUGUCAUAAACAUUAACAAUUCCUCGGUGUCCAACUGCAUCAUUGGAAACAACAACAGCUUGUGCUGUCUUCUCUCUCAGACUGAUGACAUUAACG